This 482-nucleotide ribosomal RNA is filed under the name Petasospora fabianii. RNAcentral describes it as "eukaryotic LSU rRNA". It matches the Rfam family "Eukaryotic large subunit ribosomal RNA", at positions 77 to 562 of the family's 3401-position model. The record is from RNAcentral. Lineage: Eukaryota; Fungi; Ascomycota; Saccharomycetes; Phaffomycetales; Wickerhamomycetaceae.
UGCUCAGUACGGCGAGUGAGCGGCAAAGCUCAAUUUGAAUCUAGUACCUUCGGUGCUCGAGUUGUAAUUUGAAGGUAGUUUUCUGGUGCUGGCCCUUGUCUAUGUUCCUUGGAACAGGACGUCAUAGAGGGUGAGAAUCCCGUCUGAUGGGGUGUCCAGUGCUUUGUAGAUUUCUACCGAAGAGUCGAGUUGUUUGGGAAUGCAGCUCUAAGUGGGUGGUAAAUUCCAUCUAAAGCUAAAUACUGGCGAGAGACCGAUAGCGAACAAGUACAGUGAUGGAAAGAUGAAAAGAACUUUGAAAAGAGAGUGAAAAAGUACGUGAAAUUGUUGAAAGGGAAGGGUAUUGGAUCAGACUUGGUGUCUUGUGAUUAUCUUCCCUUCUUGGGUUGUGCACUCGCAUUUCACUGGGCCAGCAUCGGUUCGGAUGGCAAGAUAAUGGCUUGGGAAUGUGGCACUCUUCGGAGUGUGUUAUAGCCCUUGUU